AACCUCCGCAAUGUGAGAAAUCGCGACGGGGGGAUCCCAAGUGCCAUUCUUAACGGGAUGGCUUUUCUUAAGUGUAAAAAGCUUUUGGAAUAAGAGCUGGGCAAGACCGGUGCCAGCCGCCGCGGUAACACCGGCAGCUCUAGUGGUAGCUGUUUUUAUUGGGCCUAAAGCGUUCGUAGCCGGUUUGAUAAGUCACUGGUGAAAUCCUGUAGCUUAACUGUGGGAAUUGCUGGUGAUACUGUUGAACUUGAGGUCGGGAGAGGUUAGCGGUACUCCCAGGGUAGAGGUGAAAUUCUGUAAUCCUGGGAGGACCGCCUGUUGCGAAGGCGUCUAACUGGAACGGUUCUGACGGUGAGGGACGAAAGUUAGGGGCGCGAACCGGAUUAGAUACCCGGGUAGUCCUAACUGUAAACGAUGCGGACUUGGUGUUGGGGUGGCUUUGAGCUGCUUCAGUGCCGAAGGGAAGCUGUUAAGUCCGCCGCCUGGGAAGUACGGUCGCAAGACUGAAACUUAAAGGAAGU
This 521-nucleotide ribosomal RNA is filed under the name uncultured bacterium. RNAcentral's name for it is "bacterial SSU rRNA". It matches the Rfam family "Archaeal small subunit ribosomal RNA", at positions 345 to 866 of the family's 1478-position model. The record is from RNAcentral.